RNAcentral lists this long non-coding RNA (908 nucleotides) under Linum usitatissimum (flax). Its description in RNAcentral is "long non-coding RNA (LUSI_LNC002130)". Lineage: Eukaryota; Viridiplantae; Streptophyta; Magnoliopsida; Malpighiales; Linaceae. The record is from RNAcentral.
ACGGCGAAUCCGAGGAUGGGAAAGCCGCCGCUGGGAUGUUCGAGGAUACCCCGUCUGGUUUCAAACUAUCCCCCAUUGUAGCUCAGUUAAAACACCUUGACAAAAUAAACACAAAACAAAGACCGACUCUUUUCAAUGCAUUCCCAAAAAAAUCAAAAGAAAUUAACUACGAGGGAGAAAAGGUAGCCAUUAAAGGUAAGUUACGUUGCAAAGACGGUGAACGCCUUCACGAGGCCAGAAGCGGAAGUGAUAGAGACCUCUGAACCAGAAGAGGAAAAUUUUGAGUGGAGAGAAAUCACAUGUGAUAAGACACAGUGAUUGGGUGGAAGAUAUUUAAUUUAUAAAGAAAUGAAGCAAAUGAAAGGUGUGAAGGAGAGAAUUUGCGCGAAAUGGCACUCAGAUUUUUUUCCCUUCUGUUUUUGUUUCUCCGGAAAAACAAACAAAAUACUGAAAAAUAUCGGGAAAAGCAGAGAAAGAGAUGGGAGUCAGGGCCAGUGAGUGAGCGAGUGAUGGGUAUUGAGUAUUCACGCAAGGGACUGUGCAAGUUUUAAAUGAAUGAAUGAAUGCGCUUUUUGCUCAGAGAAGAAGAUGGUAAGGAGACACGUGGUAUUAAACGCCUCCUGCCUUAACGUGGAUGGCCUGUAUAGGGGAAGGCCCUAAAAUAACUCGUUCAAACCAGCAAAAAGAAUUGGAGAAUAUUUGGAGAUGGGGAAGAAAAAUAAUGGUCUUUGGGAUUUGCACAAACUGAGAGCAUGAAAUUCUGCAGUUGAAACGGAGACAUAAUGUCGAAUUUCAGGGAUAACCUGACACUGAGUUUCAGGGAUACACGUGUAAAUUCGUCUAUUACAUGCUUUUCACCUGCUCUACUUUAUCCAUCUCUUCAUUUGUAAGUAAGUCCAAACCCAAGA